GAUGAAGAACGCAGCGAAAUGCGAUAAGUAGUGUGAAUUGCAGAAUUCAGUGAAUCAUCGAAUCUUUGAACGCACAUUGUGCCUCCUGGUAUUCCGGGAGGCAUGCCUGUUCGAGCGUCAUUAAAAUCACUCAAGCUUAGGUUUGCCUAUUGCUUGGUCUUGAAGAUGGAAGCUAAGUAAUUAGAAUCCUCUUCGAAAUCCAAUGGCGAAGACCCUUGCUCUCCCAAGUGUAGUAAUAACUUAUUCACUGAAGGAAGCGAGUAAUCUUCCGCCGUAACCCCCAUAUUUUCUAUGAUUGACCUCGGAUCAGGUAGGGAUACCCGCUGAACUUAAGCAUAUCAAUAAGCGGAGGA
RNAcentral lists this unclassified non-coding RNA (353 nucleotides) under soil metagenome. RNAcentral's name for it is "partial contains 5.8S ribosomal RNA, internal transcribed spacer 2, and large subunit ribosomal RNA". The stretch from base 1 to 120 matches the Rfam family "5.8S ribosomal RNA", at positions 35 to 154 of the family's 154-position model. The record is from RNAcentral.